This 256-nucleotide long non-coding RNA is filed under the name Vigna radiata. RNAcentral describes it as "long non-coding RNA (VRAD_LNC004790)". Lineage: Eukaryota; Viridiplantae; Streptophyta; Magnoliopsida; Fabales; Fabaceae. The record is from RNAcentral.
AAAUAGAAAGACAUAUAAGUGACUAAAUGAAACAUCCUAUCAUGUUAUGACACAACUAGACCAUCCGGACUUAGAAUGAAUGUCGAUCUAGGGUGGGUUGUGCACUUGUGGUGGCCUCUACUGCUUUGCAAAGUCAUUGCCAAUGGGUUUCACCCUACCACACACAAGUGUUAGUCCGUUACCGCGCAAUAGGCCUUCAAGAAGCGCCUACACUAGGACCUCACACUACUCUCACCAUAUGCGCCAAUCCUCUCUA